This 503-nucleotide ribosomal RNA is filed under the name uncultured bacterium. RNAcentral describes it as "partial 16S ribosomal RNA". It matches the Rfam family "Bacterial small subunit ribosomal RNA", at positions 28 to 507 of the family's 1533-position model. The record is from RNAcentral.
GACGAACGCUGGCGGCGUGCUUAACACAUGCAAGUCGAACGGUGAAGCGCUUUCCUUUUUGGUUGGUGUGGAUGAGUGGCGAACGGGUGAGUAACACGUGAGUAACCUGCCCCCUUCUUCUGGAUAACCGCAUGAAAGUGUGGCUAAUACGGGAUAUUCUGCGCCUGCUGCAUGGUGGGUGUGGGAAAGAUUGUGCCUUUGGGUGUUUUCGGUGGGGGAUGGGCUCGCGGCCUAUCAGCUUGUUGGUGGGGUGAUGGCCUACCAAGGCGGUGACGGGUAGCCGGGCUGAGAGGGUGGACGGUCACACUGGGACUGAGACACGGCCCAGACUCCUACGGGAGGCAGCAGUGGGGAAUAUUGCACAAUGGGCGCAAGCCUGAUGCAGCGACGCCGCGUGAGGGAGGGAGGCCUUCGGGGUGUGAACCUCUUUCGCCAGUGAAGCAGGCCUGCUCCUUGUGGGUGGGUUGACGGUAGCUGGAUAAGAAGCGCCGGCUAACUACGUG